AGUGAACGCUGGCGGUAGGCCUAACACAUGCAAGUCGAACGGCAGCGCAGUAAGAGCUUGCUCUUACGGGUGGCGAGUGGCGGACGGGUGAGGAAUACAUCGGAAUCUACUUUUUCGUGGGGGAUAACGUAGGGACACUUACGCUAAUACCGCAUACGACCUACGGGUGAAAGCAGGGGAUCUUCGGACCUUGCGCGAUUGUAUGAGCCGAUGUCGGAUUAGCUAGUUGGCGGGGUAAAGGCCCACCAAGGCGACGAUCCGUAGCUGGUCUGAGAGGAUGAUCAGCCACACUGGAACUGAGACACGGUCCAGACUCCUACGGGAGGCAGCAGUGGGGAAUAUUGGACAAUGGGCGCAAGCCUGAUCCAGCCAUACCGCGUGGGUGAAGAAGGCCUUCGGGUUGUAAAGCCCUUUUGUUGGGAAAGAAAAGCAGCAGGUUAAUACCCCGCUGUUCUGACGGUACCCAAAGAAUAAGCACCGGCUAACUUCGUG
This 492-nucleotide ribosomal RNA is filed under the name uncultured bacterium. Its description in RNAcentral is "partial 16S ribosomal RNA". It matches the Rfam family "Bacterial small subunit ribosomal RNA", at positions 29 to 507 of the family's 1533-position model. The record is from RNAcentral.